AAAGCAACAGGCAAUGGGGGAAAUGUGCCGCAAAGGUAUGCGAUCACCGCCCUGUCCCAAGUGCAGCUGAUAGUGCUAACAUCUCUUUCUCUCUUAAGUCCAGAGCCGGCUCAAAGAUGUAGUAGAAGGCCCCAGAGCCACUCGAUUCCCUGCCACCACCCACUGCUACACCAGUGUUGCUAGAACGUGCAUGCCUUCCCCCUGUCCCCCAGAGCCCCAGUCCUGCUCUCCUCAUACAACAUCCACCCACCACCCCAGCUCCCCACCAACCAACCGACCCCCAAUCCCUCCACCUCCCUGCCUCGCUCCCUGAUUCAGUGUGUAAAAGCGCCCCCUGAAUGAUGGAUUACAGUGUCACCACAGCCUGCGAAGGAUUAAUUUGUUUCAUUGAUUUCUCUUUAGGCAGAAUGCCAGCGUCUGCCGCUUCCCACCUUUUCCCCAAGACUCGCAGCUGUAAUAGACGGUAAUGGCCUAAGACAAAUCAACCCGUUUCUUGUAAAAAUAGCACCAAAUAACCCGCCCCACCCUCCAGGAUGCACUCCACUCACGAGCACACCGGGGAGUGGUCUGGUGUAAUAUCAGGGGUUGUUGGAUUCAUCCUCAUGCUCCAUCUCUAUCACUCUAUCUGGCCAUCCUUCCACAGCGUUGUCCCUCCUUAUCCUGAGCCAGAGGAGACCAUCCAGUCACUCUAACAAAGCCAUAAGUCUGCCGUACUUACAGCUCCCUCUCAGGCCUCACAAUGGAUGGGUAAUGACAGCGCUGUCUGGAGGGGGCUGUGGGAGUUGGGCCAUUCUCUGCUGUAAUGGAAGCAGUUACUGCCAUUCCCUAUACACCUGCAGGAACAGCUAACUGUUAACCACUGUGAUCUAUGGCGAGGCCUUACCGCACCAGGCUAGGGUUGAAGGGUUGUACUGACACGACUGAAUUAGGCCACGUCGGCACAACAUGUCUUUUUUCUGUCUCGCGCAUGAAGUUAUUGUGCUGUACGUGGAGAGCUAUAGAAAAGGAGUUAUUUAUAAACAAAUCCGUGCCAAUGAAUCAGUGUUGGCACAGCUCUUAGCCCCGCAGACUGACAAUCCAACAUUCCUGACAUUCACUGAUUUAACGCAGACAUAAGAUGCUGCCACAUCUUUACUACCCUGUCACUGCUUUGAACGAUGGGAAACCCAAACGGCCUGUAACAUUAAGCACACCACUACAGGCUGACUGUCCUCCAACGCUUUCCAAUCCCACAGAGAUUUACGAGCAGAACCAGAUCCAUUAAUCCAUUGUUGAUUUGCUGUGGCUGCCCUGCAGGGUUUUUGGGAUCAGAUAUCAUACAGCGCUGAAACUCACCCGGGUUGCGCAGCAGGAAGAUUGUAACACUCUCAUCCAUGCUAAAAAAUGCUGCAACAAGCAUUAGGAAAUUAAAUUCAAGUCAGUGUUUUCAUAUUUUAAAUUCAUGGCACAUUUGAAAAUUCCUGCGUGUCUACCACCGCGGUCUAAUUCAUUCACAAGCUGACAGAUAUAUGAACUUUUGACAGAAAACACAGCCACUUACAUUAAAAAUUACUGCAUAAACCAGAGUGACAAUCCAUAGGGGGCUCAGUAUGAGUGAGUUAGAGCGGGUACACAAUGUGAUAAUGACCGAGGCUGCAGGGAAAUCUCAUCAGCUCCCUGCAAUCAAUUUAACAGUGUUUACAAAGCCACAGGCUGGGGUUUGUGCUCGGGGACAGAGCACCGGUCACCUGGUGCUCCACUAGAUCCCCCGCUAAGCUGGCCUCUCCUGGGUAAACCUGCACAAAGCCCCCUCAUGUCUGACACCACCAGGUCCUUCAAAUACUACUCUCAGACAGAGGAUUAGGUAAUCUCACCAUGAUACUGUCUUUUUCGCCGUUUCUAUCACUUUCCCUUCCUCAUCGUUGCCUCCUCUCUACCUCUGCAUGCUCAUACCUCACACACAUCCCUCUUCCUCCUCCUCCUCCCUCUCUCUGGCCUGCUGAAGUGCUUGUUCUACUUGGGGCACAUCUAUCCUCAGGGGUCCUCAUGCUCUUAAGUGGCUUCAGAAAAGGUUAGUUGGCAGGUAAUUGUCCAGCUGUGGUUGGGCUUAUCUUAAUUGUGGGUGCUUCAGCGCUGCUGCACCUCUUGUGAUGAAGAGACUUACAGUUUGUGAAAUAAAGAAAGGAGGAUGGAGGAGAAAGGGAUAUACUAUUGUGUAGUGUUUGUGAUAUUUGCCCUUUGGCUAUUUGUUCUUUCUACUUUUACGAUAGAAAAAAAAUGAAAAAGUGUGUUGUUUUAAUUACUUCUGUAUUAAAAUUUAUUUGUAUUAUCUAACUUAUUUUCUCCUCUUGAUGUAUUUGCUUUCUGCUCUGUUUCUCUUUGAUUUUUACUUCUUCUAAGUAUCGGACAGUUUCCUUUAUAACCUGCAAUCUGCAAGAAACACUCAAUACAAUUUUCUCUAAUCAUCCUCCACAUGCACAGAAGAAAAAAAAAGCAAUGUUGACCUCCUGGUGUUAAAAUCCAAAUGACUAGUUCUUCGGCCACUCCAGAUCUAUACUUCUAUUAGCCAUCUGAUCGUAUAUAUGUAUGUCGAUAGGGAGCUUUAGGGGGGUUAGUGUUUGCAUUGCCCCAGUCAAAGGUCAUGACUGACCGAUAAAAUAUUUCCAGAGCACCAUCAAUAACUCCGACAUGCAGACUAAUACAGUAUGGGAUUGUGGGCAGGGGGAGGAGGCCUGCUGCGCUCGCUGUGAGCAGAAUGGAUGGGCAAGAGGCCAAAAGGUUAUUGGACAGACUUGGGCCCCCUGCCCCUGCACCCUCUCAUAUGUGCAUUUGAUAGCGACAGGGACAAUUAUAAAGGUAUACUUCAGACAGGUCAAAUGGGAGAGGGCAAAGUGCAGAACCUUUAAAGCACUGGCUGGAGUCAAAGGUUAGGGUGGACAUAGGACAUCAUGACAUGCUGCUGGGUGAGGAGGUAAUGGAAUCGGAGCUAUAAAGACGCAGACUGAUGAGAGGAGAAAAAAGGAGGAUCAUUUCAUCAUUUAGGAUGUUUUCAUUGACAGAAAAUAAAAAAGUGCUGCUUGAAAUCCCGGCUUUAAAACCUCUUAUGCAAACUAUAUUUCUGUUUCGUUUGUGUGGCGUGUGUGUGGUCAUAUUCUGUAUUAUGUCCCCAUCAGGCAACAUAACUAUUAAAUAUGAAUAGCCCAAGGUCAGGAUAGGUCAUGGUGAGCAUUUAGCACCAGUGACCAAUGCCAAAUGUAAAGGUCAGAGAGGAAUCACCCCAGUCAGAGCAAUACAACAUCUUCUCAUCCACAUUUAUGCAUCCUAGUGGCAGUGAUUUAUGAAGGCAGAUAAGCGCCCGGAUAGGAAGAAAACAGUCUCUUUUUGCUAUCCCGUCAGACUCGGUAAAUACUCUACUCACUCAUAUCAAUCACUAUGUCAGAGUGAAUCGCCACUCUAUGCUUCCUGCUCAGAUUAAAAACUGCCUUUGUCUUGCUCUGCCUGCUCCCUCCAGCUCUGGGGAGCACACUGGUGGUAUUGUUGCUAUUUCACAAGCUGUGUAUUAGCAUUUCAAACAGCUGUGGUACACAAGAAGUGAGUAUGUUCAAAGUUAGUGGUAAGCUUUAGUUAUGUGCAAUUUUUCCACGAAUAGAUUCCAUAUGUUAUCAAUCAUAUCUCACAGGAGAAACAUAUUUAAUUUACUGCAUAAAUACUGAGGGGGGAACUUUUUUUGUUGGGUGGUUUUUAUUGAACAUCCUCUCUUUUAAUUUACUUACAAGGACUUCUGCGUCGUUUUACUCUUUCUCAAAGGUUUUCAUGUUUUUGGUUUGCAUAAGAGAAAAAAAAAGGUAAUUUCUAAAAAUCAAAUUCCAGUGUAUUAAUUUGAAGCAGAUUUAUGUGCCUACAAAAAAUUUGGUCAAAUGGAUUCCCUGUCUUCUCCAAAAAUAAAUACCUCCGCUGAAGUCAGAGGGUUGUUCAGCCGCUCUGGGGACACCUUCACUGGGCCAGCCAUUAACUCUAAACCCCGGCUUUCAGGAUUUUGUAGGCCUCUCUUGAACACAAACAUGUUCCCAGUGUCCCUUUGGCUCCUUAAAUGUGAAAACCAGCCUGUCACUGUUGCACCAAAGGCUUUGCAAACUACCCCCAAGUGGUUCACAAUCCAGCCAGAGAAAAGUCCAGAAAGAAAACAUGCUUUUGAACUGCAAGCCAAGGCGGAAACACGGUCUAGUAAGCUGCUUUUAACCUGAGCCAUAAAGACCAAAAUUUCCCUCUCCUUCAAUAGUCAUAAAAGUGUGCUUUUACUUUAUUAUACACAUAAUGCUUUUCCAUGGAAAGAUCAAAGGGUGAUAAUGCGUGACACCAUAGGCACCAGUGUUUAAUAUCUGACACUGUGUAGUUCUUCAUCAGACAGCGUUUCACCCUCCAUGCAACUUCGAUAUGACAAAAACGUCUUUUUUAAUCACAGUAUUCCUCCUGCAGAAAUCAAAUCAAUUUCAUAAUGUCGACUGUAGAGGUCAGCUUUGAGGAUUCUCACCAGUUUAAAAAACCAGCAGUGACAUUUCCCUACACACCACUCCUCACACCAUCCAUCCUCUCCACCUCCUCUGUGAGAACAUUUUCCAGACGCCGUUUAUACACAGAACAAGUUCUGCACGAUCUGACACAUUCAUCUCUAUUUCCCAUUCACCACAGGGCAUUUGAACCGCAUCAGAAUCUAUUACCACCAUGCAGAUUCAGCUUCACUGACAAUACAAAUCAUGAUAAGAUGGAGAAGUGACUCCAUAAACAGCCUCGCUUUUACAUCCCAUCAUACAAGC
This 4793-nucleotide long non-coding RNA is filed under the name Xyrichtys novacula (pearly razorfish). The record is from RNAcentral. Lineage: Eukaryota; Metazoa; Chordata; Actinopteri; Labriformes; Labridae.